RNAcentral lists this unclassified non-coding RNA (5537 nucleotides) under Leptinotarsa decemlineata (Colorado potato beetle). RNAcentral describes it as "tyrosine-protein phosphatase 10D, transcript variant X2". Lineage: Eukaryota; Metazoa; Arthropoda; Insecta; Coleoptera; Chrysomelidae. The record is from RNAcentral.
ACUCUGGCUUUCGCGCUGGCUAGGUAAAAGCCAGAUCGUGCGACUCGAGUCUGUCAUCAUAUUGUACAUAGCACGUUAAACGUGAAAUUGCCAGCGAGUUAUUUUAAUAAAAUGGAUGUGAAUUAGUGUCGAGUCCGGUCUGGAAACUAAGAAAAUGUGCUCAGUCAGUCGACCAAGAAUGAAGUCACUGAGAAUGGUGUAGCUUGAUAUUUUUGUGAUUGUCUUAUUGUUAUUUGUGUACCUGUGUAUCGUCUGACUACCUGUCUCUUUUCAAUUAUGGGGACCCAUUGGCUAUUCUGUGUCUUGUUUAUUGCUUUCAUUAAGUUUUCUUUCGGCGCCGAGCUGGUCAUCCACAUUCCAGGCAACUUAGGGCAAGAUGGCGUGGUUUAUAGGUUAGAUUACUUUCCACCAUUAGGAUAUCCAGCUCCAAACACGACUAUAGCUUCCAAGGACAUCAAAGAUGUGAUAAAAUUUUCUCAAGCCUUACCCGGGACCAAGUAUGACUUUUGGCUGUACUAUUCGAAUGCUACUCAUAACACGCUUACUUGGACUGCUAACUUCACCACAGUUCCGGACCCACCUUCUGGUCUGUCAGUCAACGUCCGUAGCGGCAAAACUGCUAUAAUCACUUGGGACCCUCCUUCUCAAGGCAGCUUCACCAGUUUCAAGCUCAAAAUCAACCCGCUCGUUCACAUCCCCGAUCAGAAACCGCAAACCGUCAUCAUUGAUAACUUCGAUAAGCCCAUGUAUGUCCUGAAGGAUCUUGUACCAGGAGCCACAUAUCAAGUACAAGCGUUCACCGUUUUUGAAAAUAAGGAGAGUGCUGCUUAUACCUCGAGAAAUUUUACUACAAAACCUAACACCCCUGGCAAAUUCAUUGUUUGGUUUCGAAACGAAACAACACUUCUAGUCCUGUGGCAGCCUCCCUACCCUGCAGCCAUCUAUACCCACUACAAGGUAUCUAUAGAUCCUCCAGAUGCUAACGACAGCAUACUUUAUGUUGAGAAGGAGGGUGAGCCACCAGGUCCGGCUCAGGCAGCUUUCAAAGGUCUAGUACCCGGCAGAGCUUACAAUAUUUCCGUACAGACGAUGUCAGAGGAUGAGAUUUCGACACCUACUACUGCCCAAUAUCGAACUGUUCCAUUGAAGCCACAAAAAAUUUCAUUCGAUAGGGAUAAGAUUACGACACAUUCAUUUGUUGUGCAUUGGGAAGCUCCCAGUGGAAAGAGCGAAUUUGAUAAAUAUCAAAUAUCUUUGGGUACUGUUAGAAAACCACCUCCAGUACCAAGAUCAAGAGAAGACCCGACAUUCUGGGAGUUCAAAGACAACCUGGAACCCGGAAAAACUUAUUCAGUUGUUAUUAAAACAGUUUCUGGGAAAGUUACCUCAUGGCCUGUCACCAGUGAUGUUACUCUAAAACCUCUACCUGUAAAACACCUUAGAUCGAAAUCUGACGACAAAACUGGUGUGGCUACUAUCUUCUGGGAUCCAGAUAAAAAUAGCACACAAGAAGGAUAUCUUGUGUCAUACCACGAAGUGGAGAGUACGACAGGCGAUAGCAACAUGGUUACCACGAAUAGGACUGAAAUAGAGCUCGAAGCUCUUCUUUCUGGCAGGAACUAUUCUGUCACUGUUCAGUCAGAGUCCAAGGAUCAACAAUCUUCGGAAGAAACUAUUUAUGUAGCCACCAAACCAAGUGCCCCGAUCAUAGAGGACUUACGACCCAUGAUUGAUGGGCUCAACAUCAGCUGGAAAUCUGAUGUCAAUUCCAAGCAAGAUAAGUAUGAAGUACAGUGGAUCAGGAAUGACACCAAUGAGAGGAAUAUCAGGACUACCUUUGAUUCGAAGAUUAUUCUGAGCCAUCUGUAUCCAGGAGCCGGUUAUUUGGUGAAGGUGUUUGCCAUUUCCCAUGGUUUGAGGAGUGAACCUCAUGAAUACUUCCAACCAGUGUUUCCACGCCCCCCUAGGAAUAUGUCCAUUGAAAAAACAACAACAAACUCUGUUAUCGUGCAAUGGUUGGCACCAACAGAUUCUCUUAUUUCGGAAUAUGCAAUUCGUUAUAGAACAGAUUCCGACAACCUGUGGGUGAGAUUACCAGCAGUACCCAACACUGAAGCUGAAGUUACAGAUAUGACGCCAGGUGAACGGUAUACUAUUCAGGUUAAUACUGUUAGUUACGGAUUGGAAAGUAAUGAACCUCAGCAGUUGAAUCUGACAGUCAGACCCAAUCCGGUAUCAAAUAUUGCACCUUUAGUUGAUUCGAACAACGUCACUUUAGAAUGGCCUAGACCAGAAGGUCGAGUUGAAACUUACAUAGUAAAAUGGAGAGAAUCUGCCAUUCCCACCCAGUUCAAUAGGAGAAACGUAACUCAAAGCCAAAAUGGAACUGGACCUGUGAGAUUACUUGUCGGGGAUUUGAUGCCAGGUGUGGAGUACAUUUUUGAAAUCCAAGCUAUUUCUAAUGACCUGGAGAGUGAUGUUACUGUUUUAAAAACACGCACAAUGCCACUUAUUCAAUCAGAAGUAGUUGUGGUCAACAACCAACAGUCGACAGACUCUAUUAGUCUGCGGUACACUCCAACACCGCCAAGUUCGUCGAAAUUCGACAUCUACAGGUUCUCACUUUCCGAGUCCAACAUUCCUGACCAAGAAAAGACUGCUAAUGAUUCCGAUAGAUUGGUUACUUUUACUGGGCUGGUACCAGGAAGGCUCUACAAUAUCACAGUUUGGACCGUAUCUAACAACGUUGCUAGCCAACCUUUGCAGAGACAAGAUAGGUUAUAUCCGGAACCAAUUACCGGUAUUAACUCAACUUAUGUAUCUGACACAGAAAUAACCCUAAGCUGGUCUUUUCCUCGCGGAGAAUAUAAUGCAUUUGAGGUACAGUACCUUACGACUGAGAAUAUCUUUAUCCAAAAUCUGACUCGUCACAACUCCAUCAACAUAAGUGACUUGAAACCUCAUCGAAACUAUACGUUUACGGUUAUUGUGAGAAGCGGUACAGAAUCAAGUAUCCUGAGGAGAUCUUUGCCGGUUUCAGCUAUUUUCACUACCAAAGAAUCUGUACCAGGGAAAGUUGACAAAUUCGAACCAGUCGAUAUUCAGCCUAGUGAUAUUGUUUUCGAGUGGACUCUUCCAACGGCGGAACAAAAUGGAGUUAUAAGGAAGUUUACUGUGACCUAUGGAUUAGAAGGAUCUUCUCAUACUUUAUCUCGGAAUUUCAACCCCACCGAAUUCAGAGGAGUUAUAAGACAGCUGGUUCCUGGAAAGACUUAUGUUUUUAAAAUCCAAGCAGAAACUCGAGUUGGUUUUGGGCCGGAGACAGUUUGGAAACAACGGAUGCCAAUUCUGGCUCCUCCUAAACCCAGUAUGCAAGUUGUACCAACAGAGGUUUGCAAGAGUUCCACUACCAUUCAAAUCAGAUUCAGGAAAAAUUAUUUCAGUGAUAUAAAUGGACCGGUGAAGUUAUAUGCAAUCAUUGUGGCAGAGGACCAUUCGAAAAAUGCCUCUGGUCUGGAAAUGCCAAGUUGGCGGGAUGUUCAAGCAUACUCGGUGUGGCCUCCCUAUCAAGUGAUGGAUCCUUACUACCCAUUCUCGAAUAGUUCCGUUGAAGACUUCACAAUAGGAGGACAGUCUUGUGAUAUAAGGCAUGUUGGGUACUGUAAUGGUCCCUUGAAAUCCGGAUCCACUUAUAGAGUUAAAAUCAGAGCUUUCACUGCUCCAGAUAAAUUCACAGACACCAGUUAUAGUUUCCCAAUUCAAACAGAUCAAGAUAGCACUCCUAUUGUACUUGGCAUAGUCAUCCCACUUGUUCUCAUCGCAGUUCUGUUCAUAAGCAUUAUAAUUAUAAGGAGGAGAAGGUCUGCGGGAAAAAGGAAGGCUACAGAAUCCAGAUCGAAUGACAACAUGUCUCUGCCUGACUCGGUGAUUGAGACUAGUAGACCAGUCAGAAUUGAAAAUUUUGCCAAUCACUACAGAAUCAUGUCUGCUGAUUCUGAUUUCAGGUUUAGUGAAGAAUUUGAGGAACUCAAACAUAUAGGAAGAGACCAACCAUGUACCUUCUCAGAUCUUCCAUGUAAUAGACCCAAAAAUCGGUUUACCAAUAUUUUACCAUAUGAUCAUUCACGGGUCAAACUUCAGCCUGUAGAUGAUGAAGAAGGCUCAGAUUAUAUCAAUGCUAACUACGUACCAGGUUACAAUUCCCCAAGAGAAUUUAUUGUAACUCAAGGUCCCCUACAUUCGACCCGAGAUGAUUUUUGGAGAAUGGUCUGGGAGUCCAAUUCAAGGGCCAUCAUAAUGCUAACGAGGUGUGUAGAAAAGGGCAGAGAAAAGUGUGACCAUUACUGGCCCUACGAUACCAUGCCAGUAUACUAUGGAGAUAUAUCCGUACAAAUACUGAAUGAGUCUCGCUAUCAAGACUGGAAUAUUAGCGAGUUCAUGGUGUGCAGGGGAGACAUUCAAAGGGUCGUUAGGCAUUUCCAUUUCUCUACAUGGCCUGAUUUUGGAGUGCCUAAUCCACCGCAUACCUUAGUGAGGUUUGUUAGGGCAUUCCGAGAAAGGGUGCCACCUGAUCAAAGACCAAUAGUUGUCCAUUGUAGUGCUGGAGUGGGUAGAUCUGGUACAUUCAUAUGUUUGGAUCGCAUCCUUCAGCAAAUCCUAGUGAGUGACUACGUCGACAUUUUUGGAAUAGUUUUUGCAAUGAGGAAAGAAAGAGUGUGGAUGGUUCAGACAGAACAACAGUAUAUCUGCAUACAUCAGUGCCUUUUGGCCGUACUUGAGGGGAAAGAUUUGAGUUCCUCUACAAGGGAGAUCCAUGAUAAUCAAGGAUUUGAAGAAAUGGUAUCUGCGUUUAUAAGACGUUGUAAAAAGCUGCUAUUCUGUGGUUCAGGAAAAGGUGUUGGUGCUACAGUUGACGCCACUUUCUCGCCAGGGGAAAAACUGAGGUAGAUUUGAACACGCUGUUGAUUUGCGCAAAACCUGCACUGCUUUCUCUUUUUUAUAUUGAUGAUGAAGGUAUAGCAGAAUCUGGAAUGUGAAAACCUGAAGAGAGAGCCAGAGACAAACUACUCGGAAUUCCUAUUUUUGCUAAAUUGACGUAACUUGUUAUAUUUAUACAGAACAGAAAACUAAAUAAUCCUCAUAUAUAAUGUAUGCAAGAAUUUUUGUUAUUUGUUUAAUGAAAUAGUUGUCACCGAUUCAAGCAAAGUUCGUGCCAAAAUAUACAGGGUAUCGAUAAAACUUUUAGUUUCUGGGUCAUAUUGUUUAAAUAAUCUAUAGAGAAGUGCCCUGUAACGGGAAUAUGAAUUUUUGAUUAUGAUAAUACUCAUUAUGAAGUUGUAAUUAAACAAAUUGUUUUCUCACUGUAUAGGUGAAUUUUAGGAUGGUAUUUUUUGACAUAAAUGAUUCUGUGAUAAUUUGAACUUUGUAUCUAUACAUAAUUAUUAUAUUUUUUAAUAUAAGAUUUUUGACUAACCCUUUUGUUAUUUUGCUGUGUACUUAAUUUUACUCAGAAAUUAAAAAUAUUUUAUCUAUUUUAA